CCUACGGGAGGCAGCAGUGGGGAAUAUUGCUCAAUGGGGGAAACUCUGAUGCAGCGACGCCGCGUGAGUGAUGAAGUCUUUCUGUAUGUAAAGCUCUUUUUGUAGGGAAGUAAAUUACUGUACCUGAUUAAUAAUCCCUGGCGAACUACGUUCCAGCAGCCGCGGUAAUACGCAGGGGGCAAGCGUUAUCCGGAUUUACUGGGUGUAAAGGGAGCGUAGGCGGCAGGACAAGUCAGUUGUGAAAUGCUGGGGCUUAACUCCAGAACUGCAGUGGAAACUGUGAGGCUGGAGUGCAGGAGAGGUAGGUGGAAUUCGUGGUGUAGCGUUGAAAUGCGUAGAUAUUAGGAGGAACACCAGUGGCGAAGGCAGCUUACUGGACUGUAACUGACGUUGAGGCUCGAAAGCGUGGGGAGCAAACAGGAUUAGAUACCCGAGUAGUC
This 440-nucleotide ribosomal RNA is filed under the name uncultured bacterium. RNAcentral describes it as "partial 16S ribosomal RNA". It matches the Rfam family "Bacterial small subunit ribosomal RNA", at positions 338 to 795 of the family's 1533-position model. The record is from RNAcentral.